This 301-nucleotide ribosomal RNA is filed under the name uncultured bacterium. Its description in RNAcentral is "partial 16S ribosomal RNA". It matches the Rfam family "Bacterial small subunit ribosomal RNA", at positions 509 to 807 of the family's 1533-position model. The record is from RNAcentral.
CAGUAGCCGCGGUAAUACGAAGGGUGCAAGCGUUACUCGGAAUUACUGGGCGUAAAGCGUGCGUAGGUGGUGGUUUAAGUCCGUUGUGAAAGCCCUGGGCUCAACCUGGGAAUUGCAGUGGAUACUGGGUCGCUAGAGUGUGGUAGAGGAUAGUGGAAUUUCCGGUGUAGCAGUGAAAUGCGUAGAGAUCGGAAGGAACAUCUGUGGCGAAGGCGACUAUCUGGGCCAACACUGACACUGAGGCACGAAAGCGUGGGGAGCAAACAGGAUUAGAUACCCGCGUAGUCCCUGUCUCUUAUAC